This 300-nucleotide ribosomal RNA is filed under the name uncultured Xenococcaceae cyanobacterium. Its description in RNAcentral is "bacterial SSU rRNA". It matches the Rfam family "Bacterial small subunit ribosomal RNA", at positions 114 to 432 of the family's 1533-position model. The record is from RNAcentral. Lineage: Bacteria; Bacillati; Cyanobacteriota; Cyanophyceae; Pleurocapsales; Xenococcaceae.
CGCGUGAGAAUCUGCCUUAAGGAUGGGGACAACAGUUGGAAACGACUGCUAAAACCCAAUAUGGCGAAAGCUGAAAUAUUUAUAGCCUUGAGAGGAGCUCGCGUCCGAUUAGUUAGUUGGUGGUGUAAGAGACUACCAAGGCAGCGAUCGGUAGCUGGUCUGAGAGGAUGAGCAGCCACACUGGGACUGAGACACGGCCCAGACUCCUACGGGAGGCAGCAGUGGGGAAUUUUCCGCAAUGGGCGAAAGCCUGACGGAGCAAUACCGCGUGAGGGAGGAAGGCUUUUGGGUUGUAAACCU